This is an unclassified non-coding RNA of Cercocebus atys (sooty mangabey), 88 nucleotides long. It matches the Rfam family "Y RNA". Rfam says of the family: Y RNAs are components of the Ro ribonucleoprotein particle (Ro RNP), in association with Ro60 and La proteins. The Y RNAs and Ro60 and La proteins are well conserved, but the function of the Ro RNP is not known. Lineage: Eukaryota; Metazoa; Chordata; Mammalia; Primates; Cercopithecidae. The record is from Ensembl.
GGCUGGUGUGGUGUUUACAAUUAAUUGAUCACAACCAAUUAUAUAUUUCUUUGUCCCUUCUCCUAUUGAUUCACUUGACUAGCCUUAA